This 497-nucleotide ribosomal RNA is filed under the name uncultured bacterium. Its description in RNAcentral is "partial 16S ribosomal RNA". It matches the Rfam family "Bacterial small subunit ribosomal RNA", at positions 28 to 507 of the family's 1533-position model. The record is from RNAcentral.
GAUGAACGCUGGCGGCGUGCCUAAUACAUGCAAGUCGAGCGAACGGACGAGAAGCUUGCUUCUCUGAUGUUAGCGGCGGACGGGUGAGUAACACGUGGAUAACCUACCUAUAAGACUGGGAUAACUUCGGGAAACCGGAGCUAAUACCGGAUAAUAUUUUGAACCGCAUGGUUCAAAAGUGAAAGACGGUCUUGCUGUCACUUAUAGAUGGAUCCGCGCUGCAUUAGCUAGUUGGUAAGGUAACGGCUUACCAAGGCAACGAUGCAUAGCCGACCUGAGAGGGUGAGCGGCCACACUGGAACUGAGACACGGUCCAGACUCCUACGGGAGGCAGCAGUAGGGAAUCUUCCGCCAUGGGCGCAAGCCUGACGGAGCAACGCCGCGUGAGUGAUGAAGGUCUUCGGAUCGUAAAACUCUGUUAUUAGGGAAGAACAUAUGUGUAAGUAACUGUGCACAUCUUGACGGUACCUAAUCAGAAAGCCACGGCUAACUACGUG